CCUACGGGAGGCAGCAGUAGGGAAUAUUGGUCAAUGGAUGGAAGUCUGAACCAGCCAUGCCGCGUGCAGGAAGAAGGCCUUCUGGGUUGUAAACUGCUUUUGCCAGGGGCUAAAAAGCUCAUGCGUGAGAAAUUGAAAGUACCUGGUGAAUAAGCCACGGCUAACUACGUGCCAGCAGCCGCGGUAAUACGUAGGUGGCAAGCGUUGUCCGGAUUUAUUGGGUUUAAAGGGUGCGUAGGCGGCUUUGUAAGUCAGUGGUGAAAUAUGGCAGCUCAACUGUCAGGGUGCCAAUGAUACUGCGGAGCUUGAGUACAGAUGAGGUAGGCGGAAUUGACGGUGUAGCGGUGAAAUGCUUAGAUAUCGUCAAGAACACCGAUAGCGAAGGCAGCUUACUAGGCUGUAACUGACGCUGAGGCACGAAAGUGUGGGGAUCAAACAGG
This 440-nucleotide ribosomal RNA is filed under the name uncultured bacterium. RNAcentral's name for it is "bacterial SSU rRNA". It matches the Rfam family "Bacterial small subunit ribosomal RNA", at positions 338 to 776 of the family's 1533-position model. The record is from RNAcentral.